RNAcentral lists this transfer RNA (69 nucleotides) under Heterocephalus glaber (naked mole-rat). It matches the Rfam family "tRNA". Rfam says of the family: Transfer RNA (tRNA) molecules are approximately 80 nucleotides in length. The record is from Rfam by way of RNAcentral. Lineage: Eukaryota; Metazoa; Chordata; Mammalia; Rodentia; Bathyergidae.
GGGAGUAUGGCUCAAUGGUAAAGUGUUUGCCUGGUAUGCAUGAGGCCCUGGGUUCCAUCCCUAGUACCA